RNAcentral lists this long non-coding RNA (11325 nucleotides) under Malus domestica (apple). RNAcentral describes it as "long non-coding RNA (MDOM_LNC013687)". The record is from RNAcentral. Lineage: Eukaryota; Viridiplantae; Streptophyta; Magnoliopsida; Rosales; Rosaceae.
AAAAAACAUUUAACAACAUGAAACUUAAACAACAUUUUUAAAAACAUUUAACAACAUAAAACUUAAAAGCCUAGCCGUUAGAUUUGAAUUUAAAUUGUAGUUUUUAAAUAAUAAAUUAUGUUUGGCCCUAUGGCCCUUUGGCCCUCGGUUGGAGACGGUUUUUUGUGAAAGGGCUAAAACGAGCCAUUUGGCCCUCUGGCCCUCGGUUGGAGACGGAGGCAAAUAUGGCCCUGUACUGUUCAUUAAAAUAUUAAUAUCUUGAGGAAUCUUGGAGGGCCAGAGGGCUCAAACGAGCCCUCUGGCCAGCCUUCGGUUGGAGAUGGCCUUAGUACUACAACUUAGUAAUUUUUUUUUUUAAUUUUUAAGUAAAAGAUUUUAAAUUCGAUUAUCGCCAAAAACGAUUUAAACCAUAUUAUUGCUUUCCCAUGUAUCAUUUUGAAAUCGAUUUUAAAAAACUUUUAUAAGUGGGAAAGUGUUGUCUUAAGACAUUCCAUAAAAAUUCCCACGUUUCCCAUUCAUUACCAAUAUGAAGUGCUGCCUAAAAAACAAUCCGACUAUAUAUGUGUUGAGAGUGAAUUUCCCGUCAGGAAACUGGAUCUCUACCAGCUGAAAUUAUAACACAUUAUUUGUCUAUUAUUGAGGUACCAUAAAAUGCAAAGUGUUUGUAACUCAGUUGAUUAAAAAUACUCACCCUUGCACCCGAGGUUUUGAGUUUAAUUUCCUCUUUUCACUAUUGCUUGUAUAUUCAUAUACAUUAAAACACCACGUCAUUCACCAAUAUUAUAACACGUUCACCAUGAACGCAAAAUUCUCAAGUGGUCCCAUGUCACCUAAAAUCUUCAAAACUACAAUUGGGUUUGGAAUAUAUUCUAAUUGGAUAAAGAACAAGGACAUGGAUAUUUUAGUGUACAAGUGGCCCUUAUCCUGUCUAUUAUUCACUACUAAAGUUGGCUACAUGUAUGAUUAAGUGCUUUAAUUUCGCCCAAGAACAUCUCAAAUUUACAAUAUAGUGUGGACCUAAAGUUUUGCAAAACUAGUCAAAGCACUUUCAUGGUUUUUUUGUUUUGUUUUUUAAUAAACGAUAUUAUCUACACAUAAAAAAUGUGGAAAAAUGGGUUAAGCUUCACAAUGACCUAGCAAUAAUGUGGUUCAAAUUCGCCUUUGGCGAGAAUUGAACCUAAAACCUCUCACUUAUAAAUAAAUAGAAAUAUCACUUGACACACCCCGACCGGAGUCGAGGCAUGCUGGCCGACACUCGAAUGUGACGUAGCCAAAAAGGAAGGUGAAGCAUGAAAAUAUGGGUAAAUCUAAACCAAAACUAACAUUUAUUUAAUCUAAAGUAGUUAGUGUGCAAUAGUGGAAAGAACCCAUAAACACAAGUGUUCAGAGCAUAGAUGACAUAAAAGUGUGCAGUCGAAACUAAUUAAAGUGCUUAAUACACAACCAGGAAAAAGCCCCUACACUUAUUUAUGGAUAUGUCAGAACUGUCGGAUAUUCCUCGAACGCCACAGAGUAAUAAGCUAACUAGGACCUGGAAGGGUGAAAAACAGAAGGGCGAGUGGGCAAAAACAAAGGUUUAUAAAACACAUUUAUUUUCUGAACAUACUAACCCCUUGCCGUAAAACAUGUACAGUUUCCAGAAAAUCAUACUACGUAUAAGUAUGAAAUCAAAUGCAAAUCAACAGUAAAUCUAGAAAUACGCCAAAUCACAAUAUAUCAAUAGUAGCAUAAUAAAAUCAGGUGUUAAUCAAUCUAUGCUAACAGAGAAUCUGACAUGAACAAGACUGGGUGUAAUCAUAAUAUAUGUUAUAGUACUACAAUCACGUGAAGAUUGGAGCUAGGCGCAUCACAUACGAGUCGAAGUUGCCAAAUGCAACAUGUACGACAUGACUGGCACCUACAAUGGAUCCAAGGUAAGCGUGUGGUGCGAUGCGAACAUACACGUGAAACCUCGCCCUGGCCGAGGCGAGUACUACACCGGUGCAAGCAUGCAUGAUAAGCAAGUAUAAAGUAUAUAGACAUGCCAUGACAAUAUAUAAAUCUCAACAAUAAUAUGGCAAUUUUAAAAUUCAAUAAAAUAUGGCAUGAUAGGCGUAAAAUCAAUCUAAAAGAACAUGUGGAAACUAUAAACUUUAUGUAUAAUAUAUAAAAACAAAUGCUCACUCACUGAUACGUCAAUGGAUCGUAGCCUCCUAGCCUUGUUUGUCUUUGUACCUCCUCGAGGUAAGUCUCACUUAUAUGUGAAAUAACUUUACUAAUCAUUUAAUUAGGACAUACACAUAAAGGCUAGGAAAAUCCCCCAUAGUUUGCUCAAAUGAAAGGUUUAAAUAUAUUAAAACAUUCUAGUCGAUGUCACAAACCCGUACACGUCAAGCACGCACUCUCACGCACCGCUAGGUCGUGGCCACAUGCGCGCCCAUGCACAGGCCACACGCCUAACAUACUGACAGAUGACAAAGGAAUAUUCCAUAAGAUUUGACGGAAUAUUCCGUUAGAUUUAAUGGAAUAUUCCGUUAAAUAUUAACGAUGUCAAAAUGUUCCGUUAACUUUAAUAGAAUAUUCUCCUUCUUCUCCGGUUGCUGUCCUCCAUUUGCCUCCGCCGUCUAGUUUGCCGGUUUCUGGAAAAAUUCGCCGAAUUUCUGGAUUUUUUUUUUUUAAACUUCAUAUCUUUUUCAUUUCUCAACCAUUUUUAAUGUACUAUAUAUGGAAAUGAAGCUUAUAAAGAGUAGAACAAGUUUAUACCUUUUGGAAGUCCAAAAAGUGGACGAAAAUGGGUUGAAAUUAGCUCAAAGCUCUCAGACCUAUUUUAGUUGUCUUAAAACCGUGUGUUUUCAAGAUGGCUCCUCUCCCAACUUAGGUUAGUGGUCACAUGGAGUUGUGUAGUGGCCUCCAAAUCUCCCAAAACCUUGUAACACGAGCUGGAAAUCGACGGGGAAUCUUCACCCAAGUUGGAGCUCUGAGUUGCUUCGAGUUGGAAGCUCAAAACUCGUCCAUUUUAAGAUCGGUUUGUACGAAUGGACUCGUGGGGAUGAGAGGAGUUCAAUGGUGGUGGUUUGAGACUUGAUCUAUAAGGGUUGAUGAUGGUCCUUAUAGUUGCAGACAAGAGAGAGUUACGGGUGAAGGAGAGAGAGAAUGAGAAGAUGAGAGAGAGAGAGAGAAUGAGAGAGAAUGAGUCUGAUUAGAUAGAAAAAAGAGAGAGGGAUCUGUUUGAUUGGGUGAAGGAAGUGAGGAGAGUGACUGAUUGGUUGAUGAGGGAGAAAGGGCACGGGACAUAUUUUUAAAGUGAAAAAUGAUAAGGUUUUGUUUGUACAAUUUGAAAUCAGACAAAAUCUAACACGCCAUAUCAAAAACAGUAGUUUCCUACACUAAAUAAUUAGCACAUGUGUACAAAUCUACCUGUUGUUAAUGCACUUUAACUAAACGUAACUUUUUUGUUACAACUCCGAUUCAGGUCUAACUUGCGCUCACGCACUCGUAACAAAGAGUACUAAUUAAUUACGAUAUCGAGAAAAUUAAUUUAAAAGUCGAAUAACUACGUUCACGUAAGGUUCCACUUUUGCCAAAAAAGGCAUAAACGCCAUUUUACACACUCGGGGAGAAAAUUACAUGAAAAAUUAGGGACGAGUCGUCAUAUCACUAAACUGUAAUACUAAGUUACAACACUUUCUUGAAUUUCUUUCUACCCUUUCACAUUUGUAACUUAGACCUACUCCAACCAUUUGCCGUAAAACUCAAAUUUUAGGUUUUAAACUUACCCCAACUUGCUCCAACCCUUGGGCUAAAUAUGAGUUAAAACUCAAAACUCAUUUCUCAGGCAAAUUUAGCCCAGGAUUUCCCCUGGGUUAGUGUCACAGCCCGUCCCGGAAUUUUUAAUUCCGAGGACGUGAAAUUACAAAAACGCCCUUAAACGGGAUUAAGGUACGUAAUUUUGGUGUUUGUUUUACCUAAAAUUUCUAAGCUAUUGUUGUGUUGGACUUUAGGUAGGGUCCUAUACCCUAAUUUCCUCCCCAUUUUCCGUAACCUUUCCUUCUCUCUCUUCUUCUUCCAUUUCAGAUUUUCACUCUCUCUCUCUUACUCUCUAACAUACGGACUCACACACAAACCACAAUCAAAUCUCCACGAACGUCCAAGUUAAGACCACCAUUGCAACCCUGAGGACUUCACGAUCACGUAGGUACCAUUUUCAGGUAAGUUUCAUUUCGAAAAACCCUAGUUUCUAAAGUUGCCGUGAAUGUGUACUGUUCAUGAGCUUUGAAUUGGUUGUGUUUUAGGCCAAACCAAGCUCAUAGUGAGCUUUAGGAUGUCCCAAGGAAGCUCGGAGUGCUUCGUUGGAAGUUUUCGGACGUAAGAACACGGAGAUCGACAAGUUCAAAGUUUGGCCGGAGCUUUCGAGGCGUUUUCCGGAGAAUACCCGGCGAGUUAGGAGUAUCAAUCUCUUCUUCUCGUCAAGUACUACAACUUUCCUUUUUGUUUCACUCAAUUUCAUUGAGUAUUGAAGAAGUUAUACUCAUUUGAAAAAUACCCAGUUUCCGGCGACCUCCGAGGCUUUCGAGGCAGUUUCCUGCCAAACCACGGCGAACUAAGUGUUGUGCAAGGUACCAUUCUCUUUGUCUCUUCAAGGGCUACAACUUUCGUUUUUGAAUCACUUGAUUUCGUUGAGAAAUGACAAAGUUAUGGCAAUUUGAAAAACUGCCCAGAAAACGGCCGCCGGAAAAACCAGUCCGGCGACCCAAGGAAGAAGAAGGUGCUACAGUAAAAAUAAAAAAUAAAAAUAAAAUUAUUUUAAAAAUAUGUCGACGUCCGUGACGUCGAGUAGAUCACUGUGGUAUAUUCAUAUACUUAUAUUGAACACCGUAUGAGAAAGUUAUUGAAGAUUGUUGGUUAGGUGUUCAAAUAACGUUUUAUAGUUUUCACAUUUAGGUGAAAAUGUGAAUUGAUGAUCCGACCGUUGGAUCAUCACCAAACUUUGAUACGUUAUAAUACGUAAUAUUUGAGAAUUAUUGGAACUUACGGAUUGGGAAUCCGAGUUACGGAUCUUCCGGAAUUGGAAUUGUAAGUCCAUAAUAUAAAAUGUUAACCGUCACUUAGUUUUGGAAAUUGAUGGAAAUCCAACCGUUGGAUGGUAAUGAAAUUUUAGGAUGUUGUCCUAGAGGUAUAUUGUGGACCUCUGGAAGUUAUGGAUUUAAAAUCUGAGUGGCAGAUCUUCCGGAUCGAACUACGUAGUGACGUAUUUUAUAUAAGUUAAAUAUUCUAUCGAUAUGAAUUCUGAGGUUGGAUUUGAUUACUAUUCUAGGCGGCGAUCGUCGUGACGCCUUGAUGUGUGUGGUGCUAGGGAGUUGUUGGACGAACUCCAGGUGAGUGGGCAGUUUUGUUUUCCGUAUAUAUAUAUACUUGACGUUUCCCAGAAAUUGAAUUGAAAUGAAAAAUAUGUUUAAAAUGAAAUGCAUAUGAGUUAUGUGGAAAAACGGGAAGUGAAAUACCAUGCAUAGAAUUGAUAUGAAAAGUAUAUAGAAAUGUGAGUUGAAAUGCCAUGCAUGAAUUAAUAUAUGAUGCAUAUGUAUGAAUUGGUGCGGUGGACGCACAUGUAAGAAUUGAUUUAUGAUGCAUAUGUAUGAAAUGGUGCGGUGGACGCACAGGUGAGUAUCAGGUGAUUAUUUAAAUACUGUUAUGAUGAUGUUGAUAUAUAUUGAGCUCAAAUCCUGCACCAUGGUUUAGUGCUUAUAGUAUUCACCGCAUCGCACGCUCGCCUUGGAUCCAAGUAGAUGCUAGUCGUACAGUCCACGCGGAGUGGGUACGACAGACCAGUCGCGAGAGUGUUAGUGAGAUUCCGACUGGUGGGUGACCUUAGAUUAUGUGCACAGAUGAUUUAUGAGAAGCACUAGAGCGUAACUUGUGUGCAGAAGGCCGGACGGGUCACAGAGGUGACUCCGGUAGAGUGAUAAUGAUAGAUUUUGAGCUCUAGGUUCAACCGUACAGGGCUAUUAGAGGGCCUACGGUUGAUUACUUUCUUGCACCUGAUAUGAUUAUGUUGAUGCAUUCAUACCUUAUUACUGUUGAGAUGAUGUGGCAUGGCAUAAUUAAUAUGAGAAAUGUUGAGAUGACAUGGCAUGGCAUGAUUGAUAACGAGAGAUAAUGUUGAGAUAGUAAAAAUGAAGUUUUUGAGAAUAUAUAUGUAUAUUUAUAUUUUACAUUUCUGGGAAAGUAUACAGGUUUUACGGAGAGGGGUUACAACGUUUUGAGAAAUGUUUGGAUUUGGAAAAGAAUUGUUUUACUGACCCACUCAAUUUUGGUUUUGCGCCCCUCCAGGUUCAGGAAUCACAAAGGUGUGGUGACUACGAGGAAUUCGACGGUGUUCUGACAGAUUGGACAAAAUUAGGACUCACCUUCGGGUGUAUCAAUUUAAAUUGUAUCUUAAAGCUUCCGUACUGUGCAAAUGGUUACGUCACUCUCACGUGACGGCCAGCAUGCUCUCCUUCGGGACGGGGUGUGUCAGUUGGUAUCAGAGCAUGGUUGCAAUCUUGGACAUCUUGAGAAGUUUCUAGUGAAUUCUGUCAGAACUACACCGCCUCGUAGCAAACCACGUAGUUAGAGGAACUUAGUCUCCCUGAUUUAGCGGGUUAGGGGAAACUAUUCUUAUGGUGAUUCAGUAUAUUAGAAAAAUGGACAUUUUAAGACGGGUUAUGAGUUGAAUUUGAAUCACUUAAGAGAAAUGAUGAACCUGAGGGAACAAAGUGACGGAUUAACCAAUUGGAAAAGAUGUUUCGGAAUAUGCAAGUCAAAGGAAUCUUCCUUCUGACAAGGGGUCGAGACGACUACCUGGUUUUGGUUAUGAAUUUGUAUCCUGGUGGAAACAGGAGUAUGAAUUGUUGUCACCAGAGGAAUCAGUCGAUUGAGAAUUGUUUUAAGGACUUGUUUUAAGGAAAAGUUUAUCCCUCCGGCAUUUAUCGAUGGUAGUAAACAAGAGUUUACAAAUAUGAGACAAGGAAGGUGAUGAUCGAGGGAUAUUAUAGAAAGUUUUCAGACUAGCCUCGUUCCAUCCAGAUAUUGUUGUUAAUUUGGUGGAGGUGUUAUGUUGUUUUAAGCUGGGUGACAAAAGGGAAGUGGUAUUUUGGGUGACCACUAUCCAUUGUAGUUCUUAUCAGGAGUAUGCUAGAUGUUGUUGAAUCUUGAGGACUCUGAGAACAUGAGCAACGAGAAUAAAGAAUAAUAAGAAAUGAAUGGGAAUUAAAAGAAGACGAUAAAGUUAAUGAUUCGUCAUAUCAAGGAUAUAGAAAGAUUCAGAGCUUCGAAAGAAGUGAAGCUAGAGUUAAUUCUUCCAGCUGAGGUUUUAAUGUCGCUGGUCAGAAUAAAAGUGAUGGAUAUACUGGUAAUCCCAGAUAUUUGAGACAAGGUGUCUCGAGUAAAGGAAAUGUACCUUGUGCAGCAGGUACAAAAUUAACACUUUGGGAAAUGUGAAAUUAAUGAAUGUGUUUAUGUGAACAGAGGGGACACAGAAUUGUGAAUCGUCCCUAGAAUCAGUUGUACUCAACAAUUUUCCAUGAUAUCAUAGUGUCGAUUCAGCAGAGUUAUGGACUUAGUAGUUUGGUCGGAUUGACCGUGAGUACAGAGAGAUUUGAUGAGUUAUAUGUUCAGCUGUACAGACCAUGAGAAGUGGAGUCGUACAGACUAUGAGAAAUUGGUGAGUUAUAGGCUCGGCCGUACCGACCACGCGGAGUGGAUCCGGCCGACGUAUUAUUGAGAUAAGAGUUGAAUCAGCCGUAUUGGUCAUUCUAGUUGACUUCGGCUGAUAUAUUUCUUAUUAUGUAUGUUAUUACCUUGAGAGUAGUAAAUAAAUGUAGUUGAGAUGAGUGUAUGUAUUUUGCAUUGAGUGACAAAAUAGUAAUGUUAUAUCUUUGUGAGUGGUUGCCUACUUAUCGAGACAACGAUGAUUUAUCAGUAUUGCGGGCUGCAGACCGUAAUAUUAAUAACUCAUUCGUGGAUUCGUUAAGCAAGCAACCCGGUAGAUUAUUUUAUGUUAGUAUUGUACUUAUUUGGAAUGCUUAAUAAUAAUAGAAUAUAUAUUGUAUCAGUUAAUUCUGUUCCAUUAGAUUGGUUGGUUAUAAUUGUGACAAGACGAAAUGUUAUGGGAAACCAGUACUUUCCAUCGAUCUGGAUGAACAGAGAUUACUUUUGUAAGUAUGCAAAAUGGAUUGAGUCAGGCUGUUAUUUAUGCUGUGAGAGCAAAGAGAUUGUUUUCGAAAGGCUGUCAAAAAUACUUAGCUCAUGUGGUGCUAAAUGAUGUUGUUUGGAGUAGUGUGAAUAAUGUCGAAAGAGUUAGACUUUUCUUGAUGUCUUCCUUGAAAGUAUACCUGGAUUGCCUUCAGGCAGAGAUAUGAGGUUCACUAUUGAAUUGUUGCCAGGUAUAAAUUUAUAUUGGAGAUUGGUUCAUGAUGAGUUAAGGGAAUUGGAAAUUCAGUUGAGGGAAUUGGUUGAUAAAAGUUUUAUUCAACCUAGUACAACACUUUUGAGGAGCCCCAGUUUGUUGGUGAGGAAGAAAAUGGAUCUUGAGACUGUUCAUUGAUUAUAGACAAUGGAGUCGGGUAACGAUUGAGAACUGUUAUCCAUGGUGAUGUACUGAUGUUUAUUUAACCAGCUCAGAAGUAAUUGCGAAGAUUCAAAGAUUGAAUUGAGAUCUGGUUACUACCAAUUGAAUAUUAUAAGUGACGUUGAUCAUAAGAUGGUUUUCUGGACUUGUUAUAGUUUUUAUGAAGUUUGGUGAUGCUAUAUGGAUACUCAUGCUGUUUUAUGAGUUAUUGGAUGAAGUAUUCCAAUAAUGCCUUGAUAAAUUGAUAUCAUUUCCAUUGAAGAUAUUCUGGCAUAUUCUGAGCCAGAGCAGAGUAUGUAAACGUAUUAAGUCAAUGAAGCAAAGAUUGAGAACGUUAGUUGUAUGCUAAGUUUAGCAAAUACUAAUGUUGGAUGAAUCAAGCAGCAUUUCUGGGAUAUGUUAUAUAUUUUUAAGGUAUUCAAGUGAAUCCUUAAAAGGUAACAGAAAUUAAAAUUUGGAACAACCACGAGUCGUAAUUGAGAUUUGGAAUUUCUUAGCUUACCAGGCUAUUUUGGAUGGUUGUGAAAGAAUUUUUAGUCAUUGCUUUGUCAUUAACGAGACUGUUGAGAAAGGAGGUUAUGUAUGAGUGGGAAGGAAAUUGUGAGCAAAGGAUUCAACAACUGAAGUAUUUCCUCACUCAUGCACGUAUUUUAGUAAUCCCAGAGAAUAGUGGUAAUCAUAAAUUUUUAGUGAUGUUUCUUGAAUGGUAUUGGAGGCAUGUUGAUGCAAAUGUUACGGUGAUUGCAUACGUUUCACGAUAAAUGGAAUCUCAUAAGAUGAAUUACCCUACUGGUGAUUUGGAAGUCACGAUUACCAUUCUUGCUGUGAAGUUAUGGAGACAUUAUAUUUUAGUGGGAAUGCAAGAUUUUUUUUAACGAAUCCAAAAAGUCUUCAAUAUCCAUUACUUGGAAGGAUUUUGAUAUGAGGCAGCGAAAGUGAAUUGUAUUGCUUAAUGAACACGAUUGUACGAUCAUGGUGAUCGUAAAGCUUGUUCUAGCUGAAGCACUUGGUGAGAAGACUACAAUAAGAUUAAUAUCUGGCACGUUUGCCAAGAGUAUCAUUUUGUGGAUUGAAAACCAACGGAAGAAAAAUUAAGAAUGGAAGAACGAGAAGAAGUUAUACUUGUUAAGUAACAAGUUAGUGCAUUUACUCCAGUGUUGAGUAACAACCUUUCCCAGACAGUGCAACACUACUUAUUUGUUUUAUGGAAAAGAGAAUUGGAUUACGGAACUGCUAAGUUCCUUAAGUAUGUUGGUUGUGCAGUUUCCGAAGUAACGCCAUAAGGACCAUGAAAUGUGUCACGUGAGUCGGUUUUUGAUGACUUGUGAAUGGAAUGUUUCUGGGUAGAGAAAGAUUCGAUCGAGAAAGAGUUUUAGUAGACCCUGAGACUAUGGAUGAGUCUCCUCAAAGUAUUCAGGUGAUUAAGUUAACCUGAAGUAACCAGGAAUGGCAAAAGAGAUCAACAGAUGGAUAUGCCACUAAUCGAGUGUGUAAGGUAAAUGGUUUGAUAUUUUUGGAAAAUUCACCACGAACAGAAAUGAAGAGAAUUGGAAAAGAGACAAGAUAAGAUUUAGACACAUCAGACCAUUUUUUUUAUCACUAAAGGAAUCAAUAAAGUUGCAUACAAGUUUGUGAUGCCUUCAGAAUUGGCUAAGGCACAUAAUGUAUUUUGUGUUCGAUGCGUUGUCACUAAGUGGCAGAGUCGUUACAUGGGACUUUGGUGCAACUAUUGAGAAUUAAGCCGGAUCUGAUUGGUGAGGAACUAAUGUCGACUUUGGAUUGGAAAAAGAAGGUCCUAAGAAUUAAGACAGAGUAAGUAGUAAAAGAUUUGUGAAGGAAAUCAUUCAGUAGAAAAGUAUGUGGGAGAAAGAGAAUCGGAUGAGAAAGAUUUACCCGAAGCUAUUGUUGGAGUGUAGAUGAUUUAGUUGGUUGCUGGAAUUUCGGGGACGAAAUUCUAUAAGGAGGGGAGAUUGUCACAGCCCGUCCCGGAAUUUUUAAUUCCGAGGACGUGAAAUUACAAAAACGCCCUUAAACGGGAUUAAGGUACGUAAUUUUGGUGUUUGUUUUACCUAAAAUUUCUAAGCUAUUGUUGUGUUGGACUUUAGGUAGGGUCCUAUACCCUAAUUUCCUCCCCAUUUUCCGUAACCUUUCCUUCUCUCUCUUCUUCUUCCAUUUCAGAUUUUCACUCUCUCUCUCUUACUCUCUAACAUACGGACUCACACACAAACCACAAUCAAAUCUCCACGAACGUCCAAGUUAAGACCACCAUUGCAACCCUGAGGACUUCACGAUCACGUAGGUACCAUUUUCAGGUAAGUUUCAUUUCGAAAAACCCUAGUUUCUAAAGUUGCCGUGAAUGUGUACUGUUCAUGAGCUUUGAAUUGGUUGUGUUUUAGGCCAAACCAAGCUCAUAGUGAGCUUUAGGAUGUCCCAAGGAAGCUCGGAGUGCUUCGUUGGAAGUUUUCGGACGUAAGAACACGGAGAUCGACAAGUUCAAAGUUUGGCCGGAGCUUUCGAGGCGUUUUCCGGAGAAUCCCCGGCGAGUUAGGAGUCGAGAUAGGUAUCAAUCUCUUCUUCUCGUCAAGUACUACAACUUUCCUUUUGUUUCACUCAAUUUCAUUGAGUAUUGAAGAAGUUAUACUCAUUUGAAAAAUACCCAGUUUCCGGCGACCUCCGAGGCUUUCGAGGCAGUUUCCUGCCAAACCACGGCGAACUAAGUGUUGUGCAAGGUACCAUUCUCU